CAUUAAAAACGCAUAAAACGGACAAACACCAGAUAACAAUAAUGCAUUGUUUUCAAACAUAAAUUAUUGUUUUAAACAUAGUGAAAAUGGUAUGUAGGAAUUUCGGACGCGGGUUCAACUCCCGCCAGCUCCACCA
RNAcentral lists this transfer-messenger RNA (136 nucleotides) under Escherichia coli. RNAcentral's name for it is "partial transfer-messenger RNA". It matches the Rfam family "transfer-messenger RNA", at positions 221 to 374 of the family's 374-position model. From Rfam's summary of the family: Bacterial tmRNA, also known as 10Sa RNA or SsrA, is named for its dual tRNA and mRNA-like properties. Its role is to liberate the mRNA from a stalled ribosome. To accomplish this part of the tmRNA is used as a reading frame that ends in a translation stop signal. Lineage: Bacteria; Pseudomonadati; Pseudomonadota; Gammaproteobacteria; Enterobacterales; Enterobacteriaceae. The record is from RNAcentral.